UCCGGUUUGGCACCGGCAGUCUUCCUAGAGUCCCCGCCAUUACGCGCUGGCAACUAAGAACAGGGGUUGCGCUCGUUGCGGGACUUAACCCAACAUCUCACGACACGAGCUGACGACAACCAUGCAGCACCUCUGCUCGCUCCCUUGCGGGUCGCUCAAUGUUUCCAUCGAGCUACCACGAGUAGUUCAAGCCCAGGUAAGGUUCUUCGCGUUGCGUCGAAUUAAACCACAUGCUCCACCGCUUGUGCGGGCCCCCGUCAAUUCCUUUGAGUUUCAACCUUGCGACCGUACUCCCCAGGCGGGGCACUUAAUGCGUUAGCUGCGGCACCCAGGGGGUCAAUACCCCGGACACCUAGUGCCCAUCGUUUACAGCGUGGACUAC
Molecule: unclassified non-coding RNA, 382 nt
Filed under: uncultured bacterium
Lineage: Bacteria
Description: contains 16S-23S intergenic spacer region
Source: RNAcentral